RNAcentral lists this ribosomal RNA (433 nucleotides) under uncultured bacterium. Its description in RNAcentral is "partial 16S ribosomal RNA". It matches the Rfam family "Bacterial small subunit ribosomal RNA", at positions 29 to 507 of the family's 1533-position model. The record is from RNAcentral.
AACGAACGCUGGCGGCAUGCCUAACACAUGCAAGUCGAACGAGACCUUCGGGUCUAGUGGCGCACGGGUGCGUAACGCGUGGGAACCUGCCCUUAGGUUCGGAAUAACUCCCCGAAAGGGGUGCUAAUACCGGAUAAUGUCUUCGGACCAAAGAUUUAUCGCCUUUGGAUGGGCCCGCGUUGGAUUAGCUAGUUGGUAGGGUAAAAGCCUACCAAGGCGACGAUCCAUAGCUGGUCUGAGAGGAUGAUCAGCCACACUGGGACUGAGACACGGCCCAGACUCCUACGGGAGGCAGCAGUGGGGAAUAUUGGACAAUGGGCGAAAGCCUGAUCCAGCAAGGCCGCGUGAGUGAUGAAGGCCUUAGGGUUGUAAAGCUCUUUUAACCGGGUUGAUAAUGACAGUACCGGGAGAAUAAGCUCCGGCUAACUCCGUG